CACCAUCUGAAAUAAGAAGCUGGGAUAGAUUUCUCGCAGCACCGAUUCAGCCUGAUUCAGAGCAAAGUGCAGAGGAACCCAGCAAACCCAACAUGACAGUGAAAGGUGUAUUUGAAUCUUUCUUAAGCUUCUUCAGUCCAAUGA
Long non-coding RNA from Zonotrichia leucophrys gambelii, 144 nucleotides. RefSeq lists it as uncharacterized. Lineage: Eukaryota; Metazoa; Chordata; Aves; Passeriformes; Passerellidae. The transcript has 2 exons. The record is from RefSeq and is a predicted model, not a curated record.